This 87-nucleotide transfer RNA is filed under the name Gemmobacter caeni. Its description in RNAcentral is "tRNA-Ser". It matches the Rfam family "tRNA". Rfam says of the family: Transfer RNA (tRNA) molecules are approximately 80 nucleotides in length. Their secondary structure includes four short double-helical elements and three loops (D, anti-codon, and T loops). The record is from RNAcentral. Lineage: Bacteria; Pseudomonadati; Pseudomonadota; Alphaproteobacteria; Rhodobacterales; Paracoccaceae.
GGAGAGGUGGCAGAGUGGUCGAUUGCACCGGUUUCGAAAACCGGAGGGCCUGAAAGGGCCUCCAGGGUUCAAAUCCCUGCCUCUCCG